UGCAAGAUGUGAAAAUCGAGAUGCAAGAAGAUAUGCCAUCACUACCGAUGAGAAAAUUCGAAAAGUGUGGCUUGAGCGCAUCGGCAAUAGGAAACUUUUGGAAUUGGAGAAAUAUCAAAUUAAGCAUGUUAGAAUAUGCCAGUGCCAUUUUCAUAGUGAUUGUUUGGAAAGCAAUGGAAAGCUGAAAAAAGGUUCUUUGCCCUCAAUUGAUUUGCCACGUAAUUAACUGAAGGAGCUUUAUAGUAGGUAUAAAUACUCAUAUUUUGUAUUAUUGAAUUCAUUAUUUUUAGUUUUUGAGAAUGUUUUCAAUGCAAUUAUUAGUUUAUUGAUUAGAUAUUUAUGAAAUAAAUCUGUAUUUUUAA
Harmonia axyridis is the source of this 362-nucleotide long non-coding RNA. RefSeq lists it as uncharacterized. The record is from RefSeq and is a predicted model, not a curated record. NCBI's taxonomy places the organism in Eukaryota, Metazoa, Arthropoda, Insecta, Coleoptera, Coccinellidae. The transcript has 2 exons.